CCUACGCGAGGCAGCAGUGAGGAAUAUUGGUCAAUGGGCGGAAUCCUGAACCAGCCAAGUAGCGUGCAGGAUGACGGCCCUACGGGUUUUAAACUGCUUUUAUACGGGAAUAACGCGCCUUACGUGUAGGGCUUUGCAUGUACCGUAUGAAUAAUGACCGGCUAAUUCCGUGCCAGCAGCCGCGGUAAUACGGGAGGUCCGGGCGUUAUCCGGAUUUCUUGGGUUUAAAGGUAGCGUAGGCCGCAUGUCAAGCGUGCUGUGAAAUGUCCGGGCUCAACCCGGGCCUUGCAGCGCGAACUGGCGUGCUUGAGUCCGCGGAAAGCAGGCGGAAUUCGUCGUGUAGCGGUGAAAUGCUUAGAUAUGACGAAGAACCCCGAUUGCGAAGGCAGCUUGCUGCAGCGGAACUGACGCUGAUGCUCGAAAGCGCGGGUAUCGAACAGGAUUAGAUACCCCAGUAGUC
Molecule: ribosomal RNA, 460 nt
Filed under: uncultured bacterium
Lineage: Bacteria
Description: partial 16S ribosomal RNA
Rfam family: Bacterial small subunit ribosomal RNA
Source: RNAcentral